RNAcentral lists this long non-coding RNA (330 nucleotides) under Gallus gallus (chicken). Its description in RNAcentral is "long non-coding RNA NONGGAT012057". The record is from RNAcentral. Lineage: Eukaryota; Metazoa; Chordata; Aves; Galliformes; Phasianidae.
ACCAUCUCCAAGAGAAAAACUGUGUGUGAGAGGGCCAUGGAGCGGAUCCAGAAGCUCUGCGGUUGCACAGCCAGCAGUUUCAGGCAGCAGUUAAGGAGACACGAACAUUCCAGCCAGGCACUCUCAUUCUUUGCAUCCCAGAGCUGCCUCUACAGCUCAGGGCUACCUGCAAGAAAAGCGUGUGCACAGCCACUUGGAAAGAACCUUCACCCUUCUCAGCGGACAGACAUUGUCCUUGCGACCCUUGAGAAGAUCACUGGAGACUACAGUUCUGAUGAAAAGGAGUGGGCUGAGGCUAUACUGGAUGUGGUUCGGAGAGACCCUGGAACC